RNAcentral lists this ribosomal RNA (436 nucleotides) under Paraconiothyrium sp. NO178. RNAcentral describes it as "eukaryotic LSU rRNA". The stretch from base 105 to 258 matches the Rfam family "5.8S ribosomal RNA". The record is from RNAcentral. Lineage: Eukaryota; Fungi; Ascomycota; Dothideomycetes; Pleosporales; Didymosphaeriaceae.
UAUUACGAGCACCUGCCUUCUCCUUCGGCGGGGUAAACCCGCCGUCGGAACCACAAACCACCUUUUGUNUAAGUAUUACCUGUCAGAUAACAAACAAUCGUUACAACUUUCAACAAUGGAUCUCUUGGCUCUGGCAUCGAUGAAGAACGCAGCGAAAUGCGAUAAGUAGUGUGAAUUGCAGAAUUCAGUGAAUCAUCGAAUCUUUGAACGCACAUUGCGCCCCUCGGUAUUCCGUGGGGCAUGCCUGUUCGAGCGUCAUCUACACCCUCAAGCUCUGCUUGGUGAUGGGCGUCUGUCCCGCCUCGGCGCGCGGACUCGCCCCAAACGCAUUGGCAGCGGUCCUCGCCCCCUCUCGCGCAGCACAUUGCGCUUCUCGAGGGCUGGCGGCCCGCGUCCCAGCAAGCGACACCACCAUUUUGACCUCGGAUCAGGUAGG